CCUACGGGGUGCAGCAGUGAGGAAUAUUGGUCAAUGGCCGGAAGGCUGAACCAGCCAUGCCGCGUGAAGGUCAGUGCCCUAUGGGCGUUAAACUUCUUUUGUGCGGGAGCAAUAAUGGUCACGUGUGGCCAGACGAGAGUACCGUACGAAUAAGCAUCGGCUAACUCCGUGCCCGCAGCCGCGGUAAUACUGGGGAUGCAAGCGUUAUCCUGAUUUAUUGGGUUUAAAGGGUGCGUAGGCUGUGAGGUAAGUCAGCGGUGAAAGGCCCCGGCUCAACGGGGUGAAGUGCCAUUGAUACUGGCUUGCUGGAGUGCGGAUGCGGUGGGAGGAAUGUGUGGUGUAGCGGUGAAAUGCAUAGAUAUCACACAGAACACCGAUUGCGAAGGCAUCUAACGAAGCCGCGAUUGACGCUGAUGCACGAAAGCGUGGGUAUCAAACAGGAUUAGAUACCCGGGUAGUC
RNAcentral lists this ribosomal RNA (460 nucleotides) under uncultured bacterium. RNAcentral describes it as "partial 16S ribosomal RNA". It matches the Rfam family "Bacterial small subunit ribosomal RNA", at positions 338 to 795 of the family's 1533-position model. The record is from RNAcentral.